AGGCAGGAAGAGACAAUCAACAGACCCAGGAUGUGUGGAGCCGGCACCUUCCGGCCCCUCUGUCCAGCCAACGCCAGUGCUUACGGACACUGUCUCGGGACCCAAGGGGGGACACGGCGGGGCCCCAUUUUACAGAUGAGGAAACGGAGUCUCGGCGGGGCAGUGGCCCAUCUAAUGCCCUGCCUCACCGAGGGGCAGCGCCAGGCCGAGAAUCCAGACAACUGUACGGGAAGUACCUUCCCUGGACGUGGUGGCCAGGCUGGCAGCUCCCGGAGCAGGCAGCUUCCUGCUAUAAAUACGAUGCUGACUCCUGGUAACGUUGGCCUCCAGGCUCCCCUGUCCGGGCCCAGGGCCAGGAAUCCAGGAGCCGAAUGCCUGCCACGGAGCUCCUGAUCUGCGGUCUUUUCCUGACACCGUAAUAAGAUGAGGCAACGGAGGCACAGUGAUCUGGAAUCAUCUGCCCAAGGUCACACAGGUCAGGGGCAGAGAGCUGAGAAACGGGCCCAGGGAUUCAUUUGUGAAAAUAAGUAGAAAUGUUUCACAGCAGCAUCCUGAACCCAAUCGCCGCCGUGGGGGUGGAAACCUAGAAAGUCUUGAACUUCAGACAACACAUUCUAGGAGGCCCCUCCCCAAUAAACAAACACACAGCCUUGCA
Suricata suricatta (meerkat) is the source of this 655-nucleotide long non-coding RNA. RefSeq lists it as uncharacterized. The transcript is spliced from 2 exons. The record is from RefSeq and is a predicted model, not a curated record. NCBI's taxonomy places the organism in Eukaryota, Metazoa, Chordata, Mammalia, Carnivora, Herpestidae.